GACGAACCGAGCGAACGUUGUUCGGAAUAACUGGGCUUAAAGGGCGCGUAGGUGGGCCGCCAAGUUCGAGGUGAAAUCCUCCGGCUCAACCGGAGAACUGCCUCGAAUACUGGAGGCCUCGAGGCGGGUAGGGGCACGCGGAACUGUGGGUGGGGCGGUGAAAUGCGUUGAUAUCCACAGGAACUCCGGUGGCGAAGGCGGCGUGCUGGACCCGAUCUGACGCUGAGGCGCGAAAGCCAGGGGAGCAAACGGG
RNAcentral lists this ribosomal RNA (253 nucleotides) under uncultured bacterium. RNAcentral's name for it is "partial 16S ribosomal RNA". It matches the Rfam family "Bacterial small subunit ribosomal RNA", at positions 524 to 776 of the family's 1533-position model. The record is from RNAcentral.